UAUCUCCAGUCACACCAAUGCAACCCUAUUCUCGAUCUCUCCCUCUCUCUCCCGCUCCCUCACUCCCUCAAUCCCUGGUUCAGGAUCUCUCUAGCUCCCACUCCCACACUCCCUCUAUCAUUACCUCUUGAUCCCUCUCCCGUUCCCUCCCUCUUUAUCUCACUCCCUCUAUCUCUCUAUCUCUCUCGCUCCCUCUUGAUCUCUCUCCCUAUCACUACAAGAAAAAUAGAGCCCUAAUUACCCGUUCUGUCUCUCUCUAACCAGCCUCACUUUACAUUUUUGCUCGGUAGGUAUAUAGUAUUUGCAGAGCAGAGCUUCUCAGAAGUGAAAGGGUUAUUUCAAGGGUUAGGGUUUUUUUAGGGUUUUGAUCCAUUCUCUUUCAGAGCAACUCCAAUUUUAGGGUUUCGAUCUCUGCAACACUCUCCUCAUCUCUCUCUCUCUCUCUCUCUCUCUCUCUCUCUCUCUCUCUCUCUCUCUCUCUCUCUCUCUCUCUCUUGUUUCGGAGUUAGAUUCUAGAACUCUUAGCAGUGAGAAUGGGGUUCCAGAUGCAGCCGUACAGAGUACAAGCGAUGCUGAAAGAAGGCCACAAGCAUCUCUCUGGCAUCGACGAAGCGGUCCUCAAGAACAUUGAUGCUUGCAAGCAGCUCUCCACCAUUACCUAAACUUUGCUCAGACCGAACGGUAUGAAUAAGAUGGUCAUUAAUCAUUUGGACAAACUCUUUGUUACAAAUGAUGCUGCAACUAUUGUGAAAGAACUUGAGGUACAACAUCCUACUGCUAAGAUCUCAUGUAAGUAGGCAAAGCUCAACAGGAAGAAAUUGGUGAUGGAGCUAAUCUGACGAUAUCUUUUGCUGGGGAGCUUCUCCAAAAUGCGGAGGAGCUAAUUAGGAUGGGAUUGCAUCCAAGUGAAAUCAUUAGUGGCUACACAAAAGUGAUCAAUAAGGUCCUUCAUUUCUUUGCUGAAUGACCUGUCAAACUGUAUUUUAAGCCUUUUGCUCAUUAGGCAUUGUGCAUAUGCUGAUUUCUGCUCUGUUGAUGCCUAGACGGUCGAUAUUUUAGAUGAGUAGGUUGAAAGGGGCUCAGAAACAAUGGAUGUGUGGAACAAGGAUGAAGUUGUUUCCCAAAUGAAAGCUAUUGUGGCCAGCAAGCAGUUCGUACAAGAAGAUAUUUUGUGCCCUCUUAUUGCGGAUGUGUGUACAUGGAUGUUGGUGUUUAUUUAUUAAUAUUAUUUUUGGUCCCUUGGUUUUGAGAAAAAUUCAAAAGCUGGACUUCUUUUAUAUUACAGGCAUGCAUCCAGGUCAGCCCCAAGAACCUAGUGAACUUUAAUGUAGAUAAUGUUCAUGUCGUAAAGCUUCUUGGAGGAGGUCUGCAUAACUGUUCAAUUGUUCGUGGCAUGGUCCUGAAAACUGAUGUUGUUGGAAGUAUAAAACAAAUGGAAAAUGCAAGGAGGUACAAGGCUUAUAGCCAUGACACCAUUGUCCUGGCUAGAGCUGAGUAUGGAAGUGGAAGCUCUCAAGGUUGGGUUGCCAAGGUUCCAAUGUUGUUGAUGCCAUUAAUGCAAUAAAUGGAACAAUCAUUACUUAUGGACAGGCAUAGGUGGACUGGUAGAUAUAAAGCCCAUCUAUGGGACAACAGCUGCAAGAAGGAAGGCCCUGACUAGAAAAGGAAGGCCAGGUUAGUAAAACAAUAGGGGGAUAGUUUCAUAUCUGAAGGCCAAACUAGAAAAGAAGGAUUUACAGCGGAUGUCAUAUCUGAAGGCAGUGAUCAUUUUAGAAAAAAGCAAGGAAUCAUUGGAUUAUAGAAGCUUGGAAAUGAAAUGUUGAAUUGAAAUUGGAAAUUGAAAUUGAAAUGUGUAGCAGAAAAGAAGGAA
Molecule: RNA transcript, 1870 nt
Organism: Magnolia sinica
Lineage: Eukaryota; Viridiplantae; Streptophyta; Magnoliopsida; Magnoliales; Magnoliaceae
Gene name: T-complex protein 1 subunit theta-like
Exons: 5
Source: RefSeq, a predicted model, not a curated record